Molecule: ribosomal RNA, 380 nt
Filed under: Trachylepis atlantica
Lineage: Eukaryota; Metazoa; Chordata; Lepidosauria; Squamata; Scincidae
Description: partial 12S ribosomal RNA
Rfam family: Bacterial small subunit ribosomal RNA
Source: RNAcentral
GCUUAGCCCUUAACAUAGACAGCAAACACACAAUGCUGUCCGCCAGAGAACUACAAGUGAAAAACUAGAAACUCCAAGGACUUGGCGGUGCUCCACACCGACCUAGAGGAGCCUGUCCUAUAAUCGAUAAUCCACGUUUUACCUCACCACUUCUUGCAACUCAGCCUAUAUACCGCCGUCGCCAGCUUACCUUAUGAAAGAACUAAAGUAGGCAAAAUAGUUAACAGCUAAAACGUCAGGUCAAGGUGUAGCACAUGAAGUGGAAGAGAUGGGCUACACUUUCUACCACAGAACAAACGGACAGUACAAUGAAACCCGUACUUAAAGGCGGAUUUAGAAGUAAGAUAGAUAAGAGCCUCUACCUGAAACCCGCUCCGGAG